This is a non-coding RNA of Meleagris gallopavo (turkey), 4123 nucleotides long. The record is from RefSeq and is a predicted model, not a curated record. Lineage: Eukaryota; Metazoa; Chordata; Aves; Galliformes; Phasianidae.
GCUGUUGCUCCUGCUUGUUGUGUAAGAGAAUUGUGACCCUUGGCUUUGUGUUGUGCUCCUAAUGGUUUAGUAUAGACUGCAAACUGAUGAUGCCGGAAGUCAAUUAUUGCCCAAUUUUUUUAGAUAUAUACUUAAACUGAUGCAUAUUAAUGAUGUACACAGUUGAAAUGUGAUAACUUUCAGGCUGAGGCACAUGGAAGGCAAGGAACCUUCAUUUCAUUUGUAACAAAAAUGAGCUAGUUAUUGGGAGAGGAUGCUGGUUUGGCUGACUUGUAAUAUAUUUUUCCUUGGUAAUUCGAUCUGAGCUCAUAUAAAGGUUUAGGUUUCUGUCCCAAACUGAUCUGGGGGAGAAAAAAGAAAAUUUCAUUCUGGAAACAAAAAAGUUUGUAUUUCUGUAUUCCCUGGUUCCUGCAGCUUCUCAGUGAAAAUGGCGUUUGACAGCCCUUGUGAUUAUAUAACAGUUCUCAAGAGGAAGCUGCUAACAAGCCCAUCUGAUAUUUUGUGCCAGCUGUUUCAGUGGAGGCGUGUUGGACUAGAGUGAACUCCGCCUUCUUUGACAAGCAAAGGUUUCUUCGCUUCCAUGGCGUGGUUACUUCAGUUGAUGCAGUACAAUCUGGAAAGUGCAUUUACAUGGAAAACCAAAGUAUUACACUUUGACUGCAGUUUUUAAAUAACAGUAGAAAGGACAUUGGCAUUGCCAGUAGAAAGAAACGUGAACUUUGACUGUGAGUGUUGGUCAGGAAAAUGUCAGAGAAAGAGCAUAAGGACAGCGAUCUGCAGUUGGACCAAAGGCUAUUCCAAGACUUUGUAUCCAAUAGCAGUCAGCAGAAUAUCCUUGCGGACAAGUGUAAGUAACAGGGCAAGUAUAGAAUUAUUCCUUCUGCUGGUAUACUUUCCCGGCUUCUGACACUCAGCAGUUUUGGGACUCCCUGUGCCGAAGUUGCAUCUUAACCAUUGUUUUUAUGAACCACUGAGUGCAGAAGCAACAAUAAGAACAAUGGAUCACUGUUCAGCGUCAGUGGCAACUGCGCUUAGAAAUAAGUAACAGUGCCACUUCAAAACGCUUGACGUGGACAACAGAAAGAGAAGAGCCAGGAAAUUAUAGCAGCACUAAAGCCACACCCAUGGCCAGAGGCUACAUCUCGCAGCUCCUCCAAGUUGUGAACUCCUUGAGAGCUGAGAAUCCCUACUAUGCAGAGAGCAAAGCAUUUGAAAAGUGACAGAGCGUGAAGAAAAAGGGAAUUCAAAAUCUGGUGCUGAAUUUUCUCCUGGACCAGUCUGUUCUUCUAUAUCCACGGACAAGUAGGUUGCUGCAGGAGUAGUUUAGAAGCCUCACCAUUAGCCAGUCUCUUUGCACGGUGCAGCGACUCCUGCUAAGAUCCUACCCAUGACCAACUCCUGUGUGAAGAGAUCAAGGAUCCUGAUUUGUUUCUAGGACUCUUAUUAAAAACAAGAAAAACACUGGUGAUUCCUGCCUUCUGCACACAAUUUUACUGCAGUGCAUGUUUUCCUCCACAUGAGGACAAUCUUCUAAGAAUGGUGGUGAAACAUAACCUGUUGUGACUGAUUUCAGAGGGCACAGGAAGAGGUGUGGAACAAACAGUGGAGAAUGCACUGGAUGUGUAGUACAGCGUUGGAUCAGAGAGACUAGACUGUCACAGAAGCUUGUGAAUUUGGAGAAAGCCAGUGUAUGUUCAUGACAGGCCAUGAAGCUAUCCCCAACAGGCAUUUGAGAAAGACAAAUCCCCAGCAUGUUUGCACGUCAAUUAAGCAACAGUAGCACUUCUAUUGAUUUUCUCUAUGAUGAACUGUUAAAAGAAGUGAGGUACCCAGAAAUAAAGUGGAAAAAAAAGAAGCAACUGACCAAUAAUCUACCUAGAAAGUUACUGAAAGCCUUUAAAAAAGCCAAGAAUUCAGAGGAUAAAAGAAAAAAACUUCACACAUUGUAAGAGAACUAUUUUGUCACAGCCUGAACUGGUAAUUGAGCACCUGGUGAAGAUGAGUGGCUGACCAAGGAAGAACAGAUGCAAGCAAUUCACCUGUACUUUCCAUGUGACUGGAAAGGGUGGACCCUGGGUUGACCCCUCCCUGGGCUCAUUUAAGGGCUGGCUUCCAAAAGAAGAAGAAAUCCUGGAUGUAGGCCACUUCCUGAGGUGGAUCAUUCUGUAGCUAGAUGCCCUUAUCAUCAGUCAGGUAAGAACUUAUUCAGUGCAUCAGUGUUCUCCUGUCUUCGUUAUAUCAUGGCCAAUUUAGCUUGAUUCUCUAUUUGUGGAAGACAGCUUUAUCUAUAAGCCAGCAACAGAGGUGCUUAUCAGACUUCUUCAAGCAAAUAAAAAUUAUCUUUGCAGUAUAUUUCUUUUAUGAUGACAAGACCUUCAGCUUACAACAUCUAUUGGCUCUUCUAAUAUCAGAACUGCGCAAGAAGAAAUAUGUUGGAGAUGCAAUGAUUAUUACUUUAGUGAGAACUACUGGUAUGGAGUACAGGAGAGUUCAAAACUGAUAAAAGUAUCUUAAUGCUCUUUUUACACGUGAGAUUCUGCUUCUUAACUUAUAUUCUUGACAAAGAGAUCUCUUUUCUUUCUCAUACACAUUCUGGAUACUUGUAGCUCUGUUGCUGUAUUUUGCAAAAACAGUAGGAAGUGAAGAUAGUAUUAGAUGUCCUUGGAUGCCCUGUGAUUUGCAGUAGCAGGAGAGAUCUUUUAUUUGAUACCAAACAAUAGUUCAGUAUAGAAUUUUCUAAACUCAAUUUGGCUUCUCUCUAUUCCCCAGAACCAACCUGGCAUUUCACAAUAGAGGAAUCAAAUGUUGUUUGGCAGCAUCUGAUGUUGCAGCUCCUUAGAGCCUGAUCUCAGAAUUUGGCUGUUAAGAGUCUCUCUAUUUGUAGUCAGCUGUGUAAAACAACAACAACAACAAAAAAAAAAAAGGGCAUCAGCAGAGCUGUGACCCUUAUACAGUUCAGCGAACUGCGAAGGCAGUAUCGUUAUUACUAGUUUUAAACCAUGAAUAUGUGUUGGUUUUUCUUACAAACAUGAGGUUAAUGAAGACCUGCCACCAGAAGUAUACAGCAUAUCACUUCAGAAGGAAUUUCAUUUUGACCAAAGAACGUGGGCAAAGAACGUUCUAUCUUCCAGUGGCACGUUAGCCAGAGGUGCACUAAGAAGCAAAACCAUCAAUCUCUGAAGGGUACAGACACCCUGUUUAGCAGAUUAAACAUUAUUUAAUCAUUAACGAACUGCAGAAAUUCUUGAAAGUAUUCUAUGUAAUGUGAAUGUAUUACUAAUCUUCUAAACCUUUGAGGCUAUUGGAGUAAAACAUUUUUUAAACAACUAUGUGAUCUGGACAGUCUCGCCUGCUUUUAAUACACAACAUUUAUCACUUGAGUCAGUAUCAUAAGUGGAUUGAGUGUUACUUAAGUGAUAUUUGAACAGCAGAUAAGCCUUAAGUGAACUGUGGGUUUCUGCUCACAUGGUAGUCAUGCCCCACGGAUGGUUAUGUGGGGAAAGCAGAGAAUGGUUCUAACCUGGUCCUAUAUUCUUGUACCCUUAGAAAAGUAGUUACGUUGCUUCUGCUUUCUGUCCUAUGUAUAAUGUGUAGAGAUUACUGUAACUUUUGUAGACCUCACAUUGCAUCAUUGAUGUUCAGAAUGGAAAUUUAGCAAGAGUUGUGCUUCCCUAAUUGUGUUUGGCAUACCUUCUCUCAGUUGUAAAACAUUGCCUGUUGAGACCUGAUGGGAUUAUGAUCUCUUUCAAAUAAAUUCUUGUCGUCUUCUACCAAUUAUUGACACUUGUUCUAUGGGUUUCUUAUCAAUAACUUAUUUUGACCUAUAUGUUUCCAAACAGCAUUUCAUUAGCACCUGGUCUUGUUACUGCAUUAAUAGGGCUGGCAAUUAAAUGCAUCUUGCUCUGCCAUUUAGCUUGAUUUGAAAUGAUUGCUGACUUAAUAAUAUAACAGUAAAUAUGAAAGCUGAGUUUCUAACUCUUUCUGUAAUAAAUAUUCCUGCAUCUGCUCACUCAUUCUAUGGAUUGCUUUCCCUUUAGUAGCAGUCUUUACCAACAGUCUCAAGAACAGCAAGAGCUGUUGGUUGUGUGUUUUUUCUGGCCUACCAGUGUUACAUGAAGAUACA